This 91-nucleotide non-coding RNA is filed under the name uncultured Fusobacterium sp. Its description in RNAcentral is "Purine riboswitch". It matches the Rfam family "Purine riboswitch aptamer". Rfam says of the family: Riboswitches are metabolite binding domains within certain messenger RNAs that serve as precision sensors for their corresponding targets. Lineage: Bacteria; Fusobacteriati; Fusobacteriota; Fusobacteriia; Fusobacteriales; Fusobacteriaceae. The record is from RNAcentral.
AUAAAUAAUAAAACAGCUCGUAUAAUUUUGAUAUUACGGUUCAAAAGUUUCUACAGAUUCACCAUAAGAAUCUACUACGGGCUGGCUUAAA